AUGUUUAUUUGGAGCCAGAAUAAACAUGUACAGUAUUUUAAACCCUUCAGUCCCAGGAGAUUUUUUUUAUAACAUAAGGACCAGAUUUUUCUUUUUCAUCUUUAACAUAUGUUUGUUAACCUAUGAUUUCCAUACUUGAUGAACCUGCACAAGUUGUGCAUCCUUUUGUUCAGGACAAGGAGGCCCU
Spea bombifrons (plains spadefoot toad) is the source of this 187-nucleotide long non-coding RNA. RefSeq lists it as uncharacterized. Lineage: Eukaryota; Metazoa; Chordata; Amphibia; Anura; Pelobatidae. The transcript has 2 exons. The record is from RefSeq and is a predicted model, not a curated record.